This 28-nucleotide non-coding RNA is filed under the name Mus musculus (house mouse). The record is from RNAcentral. Lineage: Eukaryota; Metazoa; Chordata; Mammalia; Rodentia; Muridae.
UACAGAAAAUGGUUACUAUUACCGCAAG